This 253-nucleotide ribosomal RNA is filed under the name uncultured bacterium. Its description in RNAcentral is "partial 16S ribosomal RNA". It matches the Rfam family "Bacterial small subunit ribosomal RNA", at positions 524 to 776 of the family's 1533-position model. The record is from RNAcentral.
UACGAAGGGGGCUAGCGUUGCUCGGAAUCACUGGGCGUAAAGGGUGCGUAGGCGGGUCUUUAAGUCAGGGGUGAAAUCCUGGAGCUCAACUCCAGAACUGCCUUUGAUACUGAGGAUCUUGAGUUCGGGAGAGGUGAGUGGAACUGCGAGUGUAGAGGUGAAAUUCGUAGAUAUUCGCAAGAACACCAGUGGCGAAGGCGGCUCACUGGCCCAUAACUGACGCUGAGGCACGAAAGCGUGGGGAGCAAACAGG